This 512-nucleotide ribosomal RNA is filed under the name Poikilolaimus regenfussi. Its description in RNAcentral is "partial large subunit ribosomal RNA". It matches the Rfam family "Eukaryotic large subunit ribosomal RNA", at positions 655 to 1146 of the family's 3401-position model. The record is from RNAcentral. Lineage: Eukaryota; Metazoa; Nematoda; Chromadorea; Rhabditida; Rhabditidae. RNAcentral also lists the same sequence under 11 other names.
UGAAACACGGACCAAGAAGUCUAGCAUAUCCGCGAGUCAUUGGGUGGUAAACCUAAAGGCGUAAUGAAAGUAAAGGUGGCUCGAUCCACUGAUAUGGGAUCCGUACGUGAGAGCGUGCGGCGCACCAUAGCCCCGUCCCGUAGGCUUGCCUUGGGGCGGAGGUAGAGCGAAUAUGCUGGGACCCGAAAGAUGGUGAACUAUGCCUGAGCAGGAUAAAGCCAGAGGAAACUCUGGUGGAAGUCCGAAGCGGUUCUGACGUGCAAAUCGAUCGUCUGACUUGGGUAUAGGGGCGAAAGACUAAUCGAACCAUCUAGUAGCUGGUUCCUUCCGAAGUUUCCCCCAGGAUAGCUGGAGCUCGUGUGCAGUUAUAUUCGGUAAAGCGAAUGAUUAGAGGACUUGGGGACGAAACGACCUCAACCUAUUCUCAAACUUUCAAUGGGUAUGAAGUUGCGGUUGCUUGAUUGAACCGCGAUAGCGAAUGUGAGCUCCAAGUGGGCCAUUUUUGGUAAGCA